GUGACCUGCGGAGGGAUCAUUACACAACAAAAUAUGAAGGCCUGGCUUCGCGGCCGGCUGAAAUAUUUUUUUCACCCAUGUCUUUUGCGCACUUGUUGUUUCCUGGGCGGGUUCGCCCGCCACCAGGACCAAACCAUAAACCUUUUUUUUAUGCAGUUGCAAUCAGCGUCAGUAAAAACAAUGUAAUUAUUACAACUUUCAACAACGGAUCUCUUGGUUCUGGCAUCGAUGAAGAACGCAGCGAAAUGCGAUACGUAGUGUGAAUUGCAGAAUUCAGUGAAUCAUCGAAUCUUUGAACGCACAUUGCGCCCUUUGGUAUUCCAAAGGGCAUGCCUGUUCGAGCGUCAUUUGUACCUUCAAGCUUUGCUUGGUGUUGGGCGUUUUUUGUCUCCCUCUUUCUGGGAGACUCGCCUUAAAACGAUUGGCAGCCGGCCUACUGGUUUCGGAGCGCAGCACAUAUUUUGCGCUUUGUAUCAGGAGAAAAGGACGGUAAUCCAUCAAGACUCUACAUUUUUAACUUUUGACCUCGGAUCAGGUAGGGAUACCCGCUGAACUUAAGCAUAUCAAAAA
Molecule: ribosomal RNA, 570 nt
Filed under: Bipolaris sorokiniana
Lineage: Eukaryota; Fungi; Ascomycota; Dothideomycetes; Pleosporales; Pleosporaceae
Description: eukaryotic LSU rRNA
Rfam family: 5.8S ribosomal RNA (bases 194-347)
Source: RNAcentral